UGCCUUUGGUAGAUAAGAGACGGGCA
RNAcentral lists this non-coding RNA (26 nucleotides) under Rattus norvegicus (Norway rat). The record is from RNAcentral. Lineage: Eukaryota; Metazoa; Chordata; Mammalia; Rodentia; Muridae.